This is a long non-coding RNA of Ruditapes philippinarum (Manila clam), 731 nucleotides long. RefSeq lists it as uncharacterized. The record is from RefSeq and is a predicted model, not a curated record. The transcript is spliced from 5 exons. Lineage: Eukaryota; Metazoa; Mollusca; Bivalvia; Venerida; Veneridae.
CGUGUGCUGUUGUCGGUUCGAGACAGCCAUGAGCCAUACAGUUUACGACAACGAUUCACGAAAUUUAUAUCCAAUCGCAAGUUCGCAUGACUAAAUACGUGCAAAAACGGAAAUAAACGAACUGUUCCGAAUGUACUCCGUGAACGCGGAAGACGUCUGCACAAACCAGGAAAAGCGCAUAACAGUUUCGAUAUAAAAAUGAACCCGAUCUUUCAUACAUUACUAUUUCCCAAGUAGUCGUCAGUCAACCAGCAACAUGAAAGUUACAGCUCUUGCACUUUUCGCCCUUCUCGGAGCAAUCGGUGUGGCCCUCGGUGCCGGGUACGGAUACGGGGGUUACACAUACGUGCCAGCAUACAGCUACGGACAACAAGGCGGACUAGGAUCCGGAGAUGGUAGCUUCUUGAUGCUGAUCGGAUUCUUGUUCCUGAUCUUGAUCUUGUUCAGCGGUAACCUGUUCAACACCACCUCAACAGCUACGACCACACCCAUCACCAUCCUCCAGGGUUAAAUAUGAUUUACUUGUAGUUGCCAUUUGAACAGAGCCAUCCCUGAGCCAGUUAGACCUUCAAUGUUCCAUCAAUGUUCCUCAUUUCUUUAUGUGUUGUAUUAUUCAUGUUGUAUGUUGACUGACCCGAGUGUACACGUUAUUUAUGUGAUAACCCUUGUAUAUAUUAUCAUGAAAUCCAUCAUUCCAUUCUAUAAAAACAAAUAAAAUUGUCAUUAUCUGA